Xiphias gladius (swordfish) is the source of this 586-nucleotide long non-coding RNA. RefSeq lists it as uncharacterized. The record is from RefSeq and is a predicted model, not a curated record. The transcript has 4 exons. NCBI's taxonomy places the organism in Eukaryota, Metazoa, Chordata, Actinopteri, Istiophoriformes, Xiphiidae.
AAUGCGGAUGUCAUGAGAAGUUACACCAAAAUAUUUCAACACUCAAGCGCGCAAGUGAUCAGCCCUGCUACAGGACACUCUGGAAAUCAGAUUGAUCAUCCUGGCCGUGUCAGGAACUAUAAAAGGAAAAGAAAAAAAGUGGGGAGAAGGCAACGGAACGGGGGUGAGAAAUCUAAGAAGGCAGAUGUAAAGAGAGGAUAAGAGAAGGAGAGGGACAGCGGGUGAGAAAGACGCAGGAAGAUGAGGAUUGGACACCUGAUGCUAUAGGGUACAUGCAGUCCACGAUCUCCUGGAUCUGCGAGAGCUCCAGGUUUUUCAUGAAGUCAUUGUCCAAGAUGGCUUCCUUGAUCAAAUCCUUGGACCUACAGACAAGCGGAGGACCGUCCUCCCCGAGUGCGUCAGGCUGCGACCCGGAGAGAGCGCAUGGCGAGAAGGGCGCCUGCAGGAAUCUGUGGCACAGUGCAGUCUGCCGCUCCAGAGAGAGAGAGAGAGAGAGCCGCGCUCGUCUCGCAUGAAUAAUGGACUCAGUGAGAGAGCCAUUGCUCGGAGAACCAUGUCAUCAUGCCUCAGUGGUUCGCCCUGAGGC